RNAcentral lists this ribosomal RNA (493 nucleotides) under uncultured bacterium. Its description in RNAcentral is "partial 16S ribosomal RNA". It matches the Rfam family "Bacterial small subunit ribosomal RNA", at positions 30 to 523 of the family's 1533-position model. The record is from RNAcentral.
AUUGAACGCUGGCGGCAUGCCUUACACAUGCAAGUCGAACGGUAACAGGUUAAGCUGACGAGUGGCGAACGGGUGAGUAAUAUAUCGGAACGUGCCCAGUCGUGGGGGAUAACUGCUCGAAAGAGCAGCUAAUACCGCAUACGACCUGAGGGUGAAAGCGGGGGAUCGCAAGACCUCGCGCGAUUGGAGCGGCCGAUAUCAGAUUAGGUAGUUGGUGGGGUAAAGGCCCACCAAGCCAACGAUCUGUAGCUGGUCUGAGAGGACGACCAGCCACACUGGGACUGAGACACGGCCCAGACUCCUACGGGAGGCAGCAGUGGGGAAUUUUGGACAAUGGGCGCAAGCCUGAUCCAGCCAUGCCGCGUGCGGGAAGAAGGCCUUCGGGUUGUAAACCGCUUUUGUCAGGGAAGAAAAGGCUUCUGCUAAUACCGGAGGCUCAUGACGGUACCUGAAGAAUAAGCACCGGCUAACUACGUGCCAGCAGCCGCCGUAA